Molecule: ribosomal RNA, 492 nt
Filed under: uncultured bacterium
Lineage: Bacteria
Description: bacterial SSU rRNA
Rfam family: Bacterial small subunit ribosomal RNA
Source: RNAcentral
GACGAACGCUGGCGGCGUGGAUUAGGCAUGCAAGUCGAACGGUAGGAUACCUUCGGGUAUCUGAGAGUGGCGAACGGGUGAGUAACACGUAGGUGAUCUACCCUCAAGAUUGGGACAACCCAGGGAAACUUGGGCUAAUACCGGAUGAAAGCAGCAGUGAUGUUGUUUGAAAGGUGGCGUAAGCUGCCGUUUGGGGAUGAGCCUGCGCUCUAUUAGUUAGUUGGCGGGGUAAAGGCCCACCAAGGCGAUGAUAGAUAGGCGGCCUUAACGGGUGGUCGCCCACACUGGGAUUGAGAUACGGCCCAGACUCCUACGGGAGGCAGCAGUCGAGAAUAGUCUACAAUGGCCGAAAGGCUGAUAGUGCGACGCCGCGUGAACGAGGAAGCCCUUCGGGUGUAAAGUUCUUUUAUAUGUGAGCAGUGCUUUCUAUGUGAACAGCAUGGGGAGAGAGAUAUUAGCAUAUGAAUAAGCAACGGCUAACUCCGUGCCAGC